RNAcentral lists this ribosomal RNA (440 nucleotides) under Lucerna bainbridgii. Its description in RNAcentral is "Pleurodonte bainbridgii partial 16S ribosomal RNA". It matches the Rfam family "Bacterial large subunit ribosomal RNA", at positions 1880 to 2602 of the family's 2925-position model. Lineage: Eukaryota; Metazoa; Mollusca; Gastropoda; Stylommatophora; Pleurodontidae. The record is from RNAcentral.
AACUGGGUGGGUUUCAUACUUAGCUUUCUCUGCUCAAUGAAUGUUUUAAUAGCCGCAGUACUCUGACUGUGCAAAGGUAGCAUAAUCAGUUGGCUCAUAAUUGGAGUCUUGUAUGAACGAGUGCAUGGGUAAAGCCUGUCUCAGGGCAAUAGUCAGAACUUUUUAUAGUAAGUGAAAAUACUUGCUUUUUAUUAAAAGACGAGAAGACCCUAGAAAUUUUUUACUAAAGGUGUAUAAUAGCGCCAUAGUAUUUUGCUGGGGCGGCAGAGUAACAUGUGGUAACUUGCUCUAUAGAUAAGACUUUUAUUUACAGGAAGGCUAUAAUUACUCUAGGGGUAACAGCGUAAUUCUGUUGAGUUUGCGACCUCGAUGUUGGACUAGGGAGGAGAGUGCCCAGAAGGUAUUUUUUUUCGUUCUGUUCGAACGAUAGCCCCUACAUG